CUCCAGGUGUGGAGAGGCCUUGGUUUUAUAGUCCCUUCAAGUGAAUUUGGGCCGUCAGAUCAAACCAACAUUGAUUGUGUGGUUUAGAUUGAUCCUUUAGGUCGGUGGAGCGUAGUCCUGAAGCAGAGUCCCGAUUGGACUCCAACCCUGGGCGAGCGCCCAAGGGGGGUGGGCGGCCGCCUUGCCCCCGAGCCCGAUCGUGCUCUCGUUCGUUCCCGUGGCUUCUGGACUCUUCU
This 236-nucleotide long non-coding RNA is filed under the name Sorghum bicolor (sorghum). Its description in RNAcentral is "long non-coding RNA (SBIC_LNC005371)". The record is from RNAcentral. Lineage: Eukaryota; Viridiplantae; Streptophyta; Magnoliopsida; Poales; Poaceae.